This 545-nucleotide ribosomal RNA is filed under the name uncultured bacterium. Its description in RNAcentral is "bacterial SSU rRNA". It matches the Rfam family "Bacterial small subunit ribosomal RNA", at positions 777 to 1319 of the family's 1533-position model. The record is from RNAcentral.
AAUAGAUACCCGGGUAGUCCACGCCGUAAACGAUGAGUGCUAAGUGUUAGGGGGUUUCCGCCCCUUAGUGCUGCAGCUAACGCAUUAAGCACUCCGCCUGGGGAGUACGGUCGCAAGACUGAAACUCAAAGGAAUUGACGGGGGCCCGCACAAGCGGUGGAGCAUGUGGUUUAAUUCGAAGCAACGCGAAGAACCUUACCAGGUCUUGACAUCCCACUGACCGCUAUGGAGACAUAGUUUUCCCUUCAGGGACAGUGGUGACAGGUGGUGCAUGGUUGUCGUCCGCUCGUGUCGUGAGAUGUUGGGUUAAGUCCCGCAACGAGCGCAACCCUUGAUCUUAGUUGCCAUCAUUUAGUUGGGCACUCUAAGGUGACUGCCGGUGACAAACCGGAGGAAGGUGGGGAUGACGUCAAAUCAUCAUGCCCCUUAUGACCUGGGCUACACACGUGCUACAAUGGACGGUACAAACGGUUGCCAACCCGCGAGGGGGAGCUAAUCCGGAUAAAACCGUUCUCAGUUCGGAUUGUAGGCUGCAACUCGCCUAC